AACGAACGCUGGCGGCAGGCCUAACACAUGCAAGUCGAGCGGACCCUUCGGGGUUAGCGGCGGACGGGUGAGUAACGCGUGGGAAUAUGCCCUUCUCUACGGAAUAGUCCUGGGAAACUGGGGGUAAUACCGUAUACGCCCUUGGGGGGAAAGAUUUAUCGGGGAAGGAUUAGCCCGCGUUGGAUUAGGUAGUUGGUGGGGUAAUGGCCUACCAAGCCGACGAUCCAUAGCUGGUUUGAGAGGAUGAUCAGCCACACUGGGACUGAGACACGGCCCAGACUCCUACGGGAGGCAGCAGUGGGGAAUCUUAGACAAUGGGGGCAACCCUGAUCUAGCCAUGCCGCGUGAGUGAUGAAGGCCUUAGGGUUGUAAAGCUCUUUCAGCUGGGAAGAUAAUGACGGUACCAGCAGAAGAAGCCCCGGCUAACUCCGUG
RNAcentral lists this ribosomal RNA (433 nucleotides) under uncultured bacterium. RNAcentral describes it as "partial 16S ribosomal RNA". It matches the Rfam family "Bacterial small subunit ribosomal RNA", at positions 29 to 507 of the family's 1533-position model. The record is from RNAcentral.